UACGUAGGGUGCGAGCGUUAAUCGGAAUUACUGGGCGUAAAGCGUGCGCAGGCGGUUUUGUAAGUUUGUCGUGAAAGCCCCGGGCUCAACCUGGGAAUUGCGAUGAAGACUGCAAGGCUUGAAUCUGGCAGAGGGGGGUAGAAUUCCACGUGUAGCAGUGAAAUGCGUAGAGAUGUGGAGGAACACCGAUGGCGAAGGCAGCCCCCUGGGUCAAGAUUGACGCUCGAUGCACGAAAGCGUGGGGAGCAAACAGGA
RNAcentral lists this ribosomal RNA (255 nucleotides) under uncultured bacterium. RNAcentral describes it as "partial 16S ribosomal RNA". It matches the Rfam family "Bacterial small subunit ribosomal RNA", at positions 524 to 777 of the family's 1533-position model. The record is from RNAcentral.